UGCAGUCGAGCGGACCGAAUGGGAGCUUGCUUUCGUUCGGUUAGCGGCGGACGGGUGAGUAACACGUGGGCAACCUGCCCGUAAGACCGGGAUAACUUCGGGAAACCGGAGCUAAUACCGGAUAACACCGAAGAUCGCAUGAUCUUUGGUUGAAAGGCGGCUUUGGCUGUCACUUACGGAUGGGCCCGCGGCGCAUUAGCUAGUUGGUGAGGUAACGGCUCACCAAGGCGACGAUGCGUAGCCGACCUGAGAGGGUGAUCGGCCACACUGGGACUGAGACACGGCCCAGACUCCUACGGGAGGCAGCAGUAGAGAAUCUUCCGCAAUGGACGAAAGUCUGACGGAGCAACGCCGCGUGAGCGAAGAAGGUCCUCGGAUUGUAAAGCUCUGUUGUUAGGGAAGAACAAGUACCGUUCGAAGAGGGCGGUACCGUGACGGUACCUAACGAGAAAGCCACGGCUAACUACGUGCCAGCAGCCGCGGUAAUACGUAGGUGGCAAGCGUUGUCCGGAAUUAUUGGGCGUAAAGCGCGCGCAGGCGGUUCCUUAAGUCUGAUGUGAAAGCCCACGGCUCAACCGUGGAGGGUCAUUGGAAACUGGGGGAUUUGAGUGCAGAAGAGAGAGCGGAAUUCCACGUGUAGCGGUGAAAUGCGUAGAGAUGUG
This 662-nucleotide ribosomal RNA is filed under the name uncultured Bacillaceae bacterium. RNAcentral describes it as "bacterial SSU rRNA". It matches the Rfam family "Bacterial small subunit ribosomal RNA", at positions 56 to 700 of the family's 1533-position model. The record is from RNAcentral. Lineage: Bacteria; Bacillati; Bacillota; Bacilli; Caryophanales; Bacillaceae.